GACGAACGCUGGCGGCGUGCUACCUACAUGCUCAUCGAACGCUUUUCUUUCACCGGAGCUUGUUCCACCGAAAGAAAAGAGUGGCGAACGGGUGAGUAACACGUGGGUAACCUACCCUCGAGCGGGGGAUAACACUUGGAAACAGGUGCUAAUACCGCAUAAUAACAAGAGAAGCAUUUCUUUUGUUUGAAAGUCACAACUGCGACACUCGAGGAUGGACCCGCGGUGCAUUAGCUAGUUGGUGAGGUAACGGCUCACCAAGGCCACGAUGCAUAGCCCGACCUGAGAGGGUAGAUCGGCCACACUGGGACUGAGACACGGCCCAGACUCCUACGGGAGGCAGCAGUAGGGAAUCUUCGGCAAUGGACGAAAGUCUGACCGAGCAACGCCGCGUGAGUGAACGAACGAUUUUCGGAUCGUAAAACUCUGUUGUUAGAGAAGAACAAGGGUGAGAGUACGAAUGUUCACCCCUUGACGGUAUCUAACCAGAAAGCCAUGGCUAACUACGUGCCAGCCAGCCGCAGGUAAUAC
This 531-nucleotide ribosomal RNA is filed under the name uncultured bacterium. RNAcentral describes it as "bacterial SSU rRNA". It matches the Rfam family "Bacterial small subunit ribosomal RNA", at positions 28 to 526 of the family's 1533-position model. The record is from RNAcentral.